This 403-nucleotide ribosomal RNA is filed under the name uncultured bacterium. RNAcentral describes it as "partial 16S ribosomal RNA". It matches the Rfam family "Bacterial small subunit ribosomal RNA", at positions 30 to 526 of the family's 1533-position model. The record is from RNAcentral.
AUUGAACGCUGGCGGCAGGCCUAACACAUGCAAGUCGAGCGAGCGGCGGACGGGUGAGUAAUGUAUGGGGACUGCCCGAUCGAGGGGGAUAACUACUGGAAACGCUGGCUAAUACCGCAUAAUGUCGGAUAACCCAUAUGGGAUUAGCUAGUAGGUAAGGUAAGGGCUUACCUAGGCGACGAUCCCUAGCUGGUCUGAGAGGAUGAUCAGCCACACGUGGACUGAGACAAGGCCCAGACUCCUACGGAGGCAGCAGUGGGGAAUAUUGCACAAUGGGCUCAAGCCUGAUGCAGCCAGGCCGCGUGUAUGAAGAAGGCCCUAGGGUUGUAAAGUAUUUUCAGUCGGGAGGCGUUACCGACAGAAGAAGCACCGGCGAACUCCGUGCCAGCCGCCGCGGUAAUUC